GACAGAGGGUGCAAACGUUGUUCGGAAUUACUGGGCGUAAAGCGCGUGUAGGCGGCAUAUAAGUCGGGCGUGAAAUCCCACGGCUCAACCUGGAAGUGCACUCGAAACUGACUGAGCUAGACGUCGGGAGAGGAAGGUGGAAUGCUUGGUGUAGAGGUGAAAUUCGUAGAUAUCAAGCGGAACACCGGUGGCGAAGGCGGCCUUCUGGACAGUGACUGACGCUGAGACGCGAAAAGCGUGGGGAGCAAACAGG
RNAcentral lists this ribosomal RNA (253 nucleotides) under uncultured bacterium. RNAcentral describes it as "partial 16S ribosomal RNA". It matches the Rfam family "Bacterial small subunit ribosomal RNA", at positions 524 to 776 of the family's 1533-position model. The record is from RNAcentral.